This 433-nucleotide ribosomal RNA is filed under the name uncultured bacterium. RNAcentral describes it as "partial 16S ribosomal RNA". It matches the Rfam family "Bacterial small subunit ribosomal RNA", at positions 29 to 507 of the family's 1533-position model. The record is from RNAcentral.
AACGAACGCUGGCGGCAUGCCUAACACAUGCAAGUCGAACGAGACCUUCGGGUCUAGUGGCGCACGGGUGCGUAACGCGUGGGAACCUGCCCUUAGGUUCGGAAUAACUCCCCGAAAGGGGUGCUAAUACCGGAUAAUGUCUUCGGACCAAAGAUUGAUCGCCUUUGGAUGGGCCCGCGUUGGAUUAGCUGGUUGGUAGGGUAAAAGCCUACCAAGGCGACGAUCCAUAGCUGGUCUGAGAGGAUGAUCAGCCACACUGGGACUGAGACACGGCCCAGACUCCUACGGGAGGCAGCAGUGGGGAAUAUUGGAAAAUGGGCGAAAGCCUGAUCCAGCAAUGCCGCGUGAGUGAUGAAGGUCUUAGGGUUGUAAAGCUCUUUUACCCGGGAUGAUAAUGACAGUACCGGGAGAAUAAGCUCCGGCUAACUCCGUG